AAUUCCGAAUUGCAGACGCUUAGAGUGGUGAAAUUUUGAACGCAUAGCGUCGUUGGGUUUUCCCUUCGGCACGUCUGGUUCAGGGUUGUUAAAUGCUAUAAAUAUAGAUCUGCAUAUAUUUAUUGGUAUAUACGGUGAUUGAUAAUGAUGCAUGACAUCGCAUCUGAUUUCAUCAUAUCUGUAUAUACUUGGAUAAUAAAUAUAUAUGGAUACUGUAUGUCAAACGGCACUUGAAAUCUUCGACAAUGAUGUCGUCGAUUCGAUUCCCGUUUUAGUAACGAAUGAAAUGACUACAAAAUGUAAAAUACGUACAUAUACGUCGUAUUUUAUAUCGAAUGUGAUUUAUCAUGAUGUAUAAUAAUAAUAAUGUGUAUGUGGCAUGUAUGGUAUGGUGUUGUUUAAGUGUGAUUGUUGUGUUGCUAUUACCAUCGUCGAUGUAUUCGUUCGUUUGUCGAUGAAAAUUGAUGAUGUGACAUGUGAUUCUUAGCAACAAGAGCAUAUAUACACACGCAAAUAAAACACUAUAAACAUACACACAUUGUUGUUUAAUGACAUUGAAAAAUCACAUUUCAUUCUUGUUAAUGCAACCUGAGCUCAGAUGUGAUUACCCGCUGAACUUAAGCAUAUCAUUUAGCGG
This 637-nucleotide ribosomal RNA is filed under the name Troglostrongylus brevior. Its description in RNAcentral is "eukaryotic LSU rRNA". Lineage: Eukaryota; Metazoa; Nematoda; Chromadorea; Rhabditida; Crenosomatidae. The record is from RNAcentral.